AGGAUGAACGCUGGCGGCGUGCCUAACACAUGCAAGUCGAACGUCCUGUCUCGCAAGAGGCAGGGAGUGGCGGACGGGUGAGUACCACGUGGGUCAUCUACCGUGAGGUGAGGAAUACCGGCGAGAAAUCGCCGACAAGACCGCAUAGGCUCGAUGCAAGUCGAGCAAAGCUCUUUCGAGAGAGGGAGCGCCACACGAGGAGCCUGCGCCCGAUUAGCUAGCUGGUGGAGUAACGGUUCACCAGGGCGACGAUCGGUAGCUGGUCUGAGAGGACGAUCAGCCACACUGGGAUUGAGAACGGCCCAGACUCCUACGGGGGCAGCAGUGAGGAAUUUCGUCAAUGGGGGCAACCCUGAACGAGCAACGCCGCGUGCAGGAAGAGGUUUUCGGAUCGUAAACUGCUUUUCUCGGGGAAGAGAACGGACGGUACCGAGGAAUCAGCCCGGCUAACUACGUGCCAGCAGCCGCGGU
RNAcentral lists this ribosomal RNA (471 nucleotides) under uncultured bacterium. Its description in RNAcentral is "SSU rRNA". It matches the Rfam family "Bacterial small subunit ribosomal RNA", at positions 26 to 521 of the family's 1533-position model. The record is from RNAcentral.